This 418-nucleotide ribosomal RNA is filed under the name uncultured bacterium. RNAcentral describes it as "bacterial SSU rRNA". It matches the Rfam family "Bacterial small subunit ribosomal RNA", at positions 29 to 489 of the family's 1533-position model. The record is from RNAcentral.
AGCGAACGCUGGCGGCAGGCUUAACACAUGCAAGUCGAGCGGGGCCCUUCGGGGUCAGCGGCAGACGGGUGAGUAACACGUGGGAACGUACCCUUCGGUUCGGAAUAACUCAGGGAAACUUGAGCUAAUACCGGAUACGCCCUUUGGGGGAAAGGUUACUGCCGAAGGAUCGGCCCGCGUCGUGAUUAGCUAGUUGGUGGAGUAAUGGCCCGACCAAGGCGACGAUCAGUAGCUGGUCGUGAGAGGAUGAUCAGCCACACUGGGACUGAGACACGGCCCAGACUCCUACGGGAGGCAGCAGGUGGGGAAUAUUGGACAAUGGGCGCAAGCCUGAUCCAGCCAUGCCGCGUGAGUGAUGAAGGCCUUAGGGUUGUAAAGCUCUUUCGACGGGACGAUAAUGACGGUACCCGUAGAAGAA